RNAcentral lists this ribosomal RNA (417 nucleotides) under uncultured bacterium. RNAcentral describes it as "bacterial SSU rRNA". It matches the Rfam family "Bacterial small subunit ribosomal RNA", at positions 917 to 1344 of the family's 1533-position model. The record is from RNAcentral.
GGGCCCGCACAAGCGGUGGAGUAUGUGGUUUAAUUCGAUGCAACGCGAAGAACCUUACCAGGGUUUGACAUCCUGCGAAUCUCUUGGAAACGAGAGAGUGCCUUCGGGAGCGCAGUGACAGGUGGUGCAUGGCUGUCGUCAGCUCGUGUCGUGAGAUGUUGGGUUAAGUCCCGCAACGAGCGCAACCCUUAUUUUUAGUUGCCUUAUGGAACUCUAGAAAGACUGCCGGUUAUAAACCGGAGGAAGGCGGGGAUGACGUCAAGUCAGCAUGCCCCUUACACCCUGGGCUACACACGUGCUACAAUGGGUGAGACAAUGAGAUGCAACUCUGCGAAGACAAGCUAAUCUAUAAACUCACUCUAAGUUCGGAUUGUAGGCUGCAACUCGCCUGCAUGAAGUUGGAAUCGCUAGUAAUCG